This 1097-nucleotide long non-coding RNA is filed under the name Phoenix dactylifera (date palm). RNAcentral's name for it is "long non-coding RNA (PDAC_LNC015956)". Lineage: Eukaryota; Viridiplantae; Streptophyta; Magnoliopsida; Arecales; Arecaceae. The record is from RNAcentral.
UGGAGCUCCUUCCUUUCCCAAUCCACUGUAUGGAUGUACAGAUUGAUCAAUCUUUUUAGCUUCUCUUGUACGUUGAUUCUUAUUUUAACUGGUGAUGAGUUCUCGGCAGCAUGUCGCCCUUUAUUUGUGAGUUUUCCCCCUCAUAUUUAGAAAAGUGGUGGCCAUUUUCAAUUCCUCUUGUUUUGACCAAGAAGUUACCAGUCUCUUAUGUGAUUCUAAUUUACUAGCGGUUUGAUGUUUCACGAAGGUUCUUGGUUGAGUGAGUUUGUGUAAAUUUCUUUGAACUAAUUUUGUUUCUCUCUCUGCCUCAAAGGGAAAGGGAUGAUUUGAAUUGCUGUAAUCCCGAUAUUCGGUGGAAACGUAUUUUUCGGGGGGUCUCCGGGAUUUUUUUCCUUUUAUGUGAAAUGAUAAGUUUAAUCUCUUUGUGCGCUAAGAGUUCGUGGUUUAAAAUACCUACAGACAUGAGAGGGUUGAGGGCUCCUCCACCACUCUCAUGUGCCAAGGAGAAUCCUAACUAUUUUCAUUUAUUAUUUUCUGAUCAUACUGAACUUUUUAUUUUAUAUUUAUAAUGUUUUACAAAAUUUUGUUCUCUUGUUUUUGAUGAUAAAUUUUUGUUAGUAUGCUGGCUUAGACACGUCACCAUGAAAAAACAAUUGAUUAACUCAUGAGGCAUGUUGUUGCAUGCAUUGGAUGUAUUAAGGAAUGCUCUUUAUAAUGUAUAAAGGAGAGAUAAUAAGGUUGGAAUAAUUGAAGAUAUAUUUGUUGUGACAAUACUAUACUGAUUUAAAUCACUGAAGAGGAAUGUCUAUAUCUAAUUGCAAAAAGAAUGUAAUUGACUGCGCAAAGAGAAACGUUGAAGUUGAUUGACUUCUGAAAGAAUUUGUGCAUAGUUGUUCUGUAGUGGCUGAUGAACGUAUUGGGCGAUGGAUUACAAAAGCCUGGUCUCUGGGGGAAGGUUUCAGUCGCUUGAGAAAGUUUUUGAUCACUCAGGAUGGAGUCAGCUGUAGGACGAACCAAUGCUCAAGUCUACUCGUGGAAGGAUUCUGUCGGAUCAAAGUUGAAAUCAUGGUUUCUUAUCCUUACUUGCAGGGUACUAA